This 82-nucleotide transfer RNA is filed under the name Patescibacteria group bacterium. RNAcentral describes it as "tRNA-Leu". It matches the Rfam family "tRNA". From Rfam's summary of the family: Transfer RNA (tRNA) molecules are approximately 80 nucleotides in length. Their secondary structure includes four short double-helical elements and three loops (D, anti-codon, and T loops). Further hydrogen bonds mediate the characteristic L-shaped molecular structure. tRNAs have two regions of fundamental functional importance: the anti-codon, which is responsible for specific mRNA codon recognition, and the 3' end, to which the tRNAs corresponding amino acid is attached (by aminoacyl-tRNA synthetases). tRNAs cope with the degeneracy of the genetic code in two manners: having more than one tRNA (with a specific anti-codon) for a particular amino acid; and 'wobble' base-pairing, i.e. permitting non-standard base-pairing at the 3rd anti-codon position. The record is from RNAcentral.
GGGCGAGUGGUGUAAUUGGUAGCCACGCCAGUCUUAGGAACUGGUGCCGCAAGGCAUGGGAGUUCGAGUCUCCCCUCGCCCA